RNAcentral lists this ribosomal RNA (253 nucleotides) under uncultured bacterium. Its description in RNAcentral is "partial 16S ribosomal RNA". It matches the Rfam family "Bacterial small subunit ribosomal RNA", at positions 524 to 776 of the family's 1533-position model. The record is from RNAcentral.
UACGGGGGGGGUAAGCGUUGUUCGGAAUUACUGGGCGUAAAGGGCUCGUAGGCGGCCAACUAAGUCACACGUGAAAUCCCUCAGCUUAACUGGGGAACUGCGUGUGAUACUGGAUGGCUUGGAUUUGGGAGAGGGAUGCGGAAUUCCAGGUGUAGCGGUGAAAUGCGUAGAUAUCUGGAGGAAUACCGGUGGCGAAGGCGGCAUCCUGGACCGACAUUGACGCUGUAGCGCGAAAGCUAGGGGAGCAAACGGG